AACUAAGUAAUUAAUUAACACACCAAAUUAAUUAAUAUAAUCGAUUAUUAUACUACCUAACAACCAAUAAAUUAAUUAACACUCCAAAUCAAUAAAAUAAAAUAUAGUAAUAAUAAUAUAAGAAAUAAUUACUAAAAUUGGGUUGUUACAAUGUACCUUUUUCUACUACUGACACUACCUCACCUACUUUUAGGAAGGAGAGUACUCAAGUGCCAUCCACAAGCGAUGCUUUCC
Molecule: long non-coding RNA, 234 nt
Filed under: Lathyrus oleraceus (garden pea)
Lineage: Eukaryota; Viridiplantae; Streptophyta; Magnoliopsida; Fabales; Fabaceae
Description: Pisum sativum (pea) long non-coding RNA (PSAT_LNC007618)
Source: RNAcentral